Photinus pyralis (common eastern firefly) is the source of this 946-nucleotide long non-coding RNA. RefSeq lists it as uncharacterized. The transcript is spliced from 2 exons. The record is from RefSeq and is a predicted model, not a curated record. NCBI's taxonomy places the organism in Eukaryota, Metazoa, Arthropoda, Insecta, Coleoptera, Lampyridae.
AUGUUGUCCUAACCUCAUUUUUUUUUAAAAUCUCUCAAAUUUAAUUUAAAUAAAAACUAAUCAUUAUUGAUGAUUGAAAGGCUUUAAACAAAGAAAAUCAUUAUUAAUAAUAUAAAAGUGGUUACAUUCAGUCAAUUUGGGGACUCUAUCGCACAUCUUACGUCUUAAGAACGGGGAAACUUCAUCGGAGAUUGCCAGUGGUUCCGAGGAUUACAUUCGCUUCUACAACUUGAGAUUGGCCGCUCGAGCAUGAAGAUAACACUAGAAAGAUGCUCGCUUUGACGGCCAGAGUUUCGCAACAGCUUCUUCAAACAUAAAAUCGACAGCGGGAUGGUUGGAAGGUGGCCUAAAGAAGUCUAAUUGGAGCGUAGCCGAGAUCGCAAUAAUUCAACGUUUUAUAAACUAUUAUAAUCUUAGUGUCGACACUCACGUUCAGUUCGCCGGACGAUUUCGGUCGAAAAGACAACGACUGGACGGUCAGUUUUCUCUGUACACGUACAGGCGGCCGAUGAGAGUUGUGAAAAUCGCUUGGCCGGCCGGGGUGACUGAGCGUAAGUGUCAAGCUUAAGAACUCGCAACGUUUUCGUAGAGCAUGGCUAAUUUGUUUAAAUAUUCGGACUGUCGGCCCGGGUUGAAAGUUGCUAGUUCUUAGAGUAGUUGGAUAAACUUCUUCUUUUAUUACCUAAGUAGUUAUGUGGUAGUUUUGAAAGCGACCUCAUAUGUAAUUAGAGAAAAUGAGACGUAUAGCCUGUUGUAAUAUACUAGAGACAUCGCGCAUGCUAGCAGAACAAUUGUUUAGAAACAAAUUGUGCUACUAAUUAAGUGCUUAGUAUUACUCCUUCAAUUCUGAAUGUUCACCAUAUAAAGUCAUCUGCGAAAUGCUGUAUUUUUGAGACAGUAGACGAGGAAGAGAUACCAAAGCAUUAAAUUAGCACUUACUGUUGUA